GAUGAUGAUUAUGAAUGUUGUGAUGAUGAUUAUGUGAUGUUAUCUAUGAGUUGUUAAAUGUACUUGAUGAUGGUUGUGUUAAGUUGAUAAGUUGUCUUUUAGUCAUGAAUUGCUAAUGGAAGGUUUGAUGAAUAAUUAUUAUUAUGAAAUGAUGAUGUUAUGUAUAGUUGUUAAGUUGUACUCUAUUCAUGAGUUGUUAAUGAGGUGUUUGGUGGAGAAUGUUAAUACGAAUUAAUGAUGUUGUUAUGUUGAAUAUGAACUAUGAAUAUGAUGUUGGUACGUUGUUUAUGUCAUUGAUUAUGAAGUUGUUAUGUUGUAUAUGAACUAUGAAUAUGAUGUUGUUACGUUGUUUAUGUUAUUGAUUAUGAAGUUGUCAUGUUGUAUACGAAUUAUGAGUAUGAUGUUAUAUGAUUAU
This 415-nucleotide long non-coding RNA is filed under the name Medicago truncatula (barrel medic). RNAcentral describes it as "long non-coding RNA (MTRU_LNC000807)". The record is from RNAcentral. Lineage: Eukaryota; Viridiplantae; Streptophyta; Magnoliopsida; Fabales; Fabaceae.